RNAcentral lists this ribosomal RNA (252 nucleotides) under uncultured bacterium. Its description in RNAcentral is "partial 16S ribosomal RNA". It matches the Rfam family "Bacterial small subunit ribosomal RNA", at positions 57 to 305 of the family's 1533-position model. The record is from RNAcentral.
GCAAGUCGAACGGUAACAUAGCUAGCUUGCUACUGCUGACGACCGGCGAACGGGUGAGUAACGCGUAUGCAACCUACCUAUUACAGAGGGAUAGCCCUAAGAAAUUGGGAUUAAUACCACAUAGUUUUGAGAUAUCGCAUGAUAUUUUGAAUAAAGAUUUAUCGGUAAUAGAUGGGCAUGCGUAUCAUUAGCUAGUUGGUAAGGUAACGGCUUACCAAGGCAACGAUGAUUAUGGGGUCUUAAAGGAUGGUC